AGAUUGAACGCUGGCGGCAUGCUUUACACAUGCAAGUCGAACGGUAACAGGCCGCAAGGUGCUGACGAGUGGCGAACGGGUGAGUAAUGCAUCGGAACGUGCCCAGUCGUGGGGGAUAACGCAGCGAAAGCUGUGCUAAUACCGCAUACGAUCUAUGGAUGAAAGCGGGGGACCGAAAGGCCUCGCGCGAUUGGAGCGGCCGAUGUCAGAUUAGCUAGUCGGUGGGGUAAAGGCCCACCAAGGCGACGAUCUGUAGCUGGUCUGAGAGGACGACCAGCCACACUGGAACUAGAGACACGGUCCAGACUCCUACGGGAGGCAGCAGUGGGGAAUUUUAGGGACUAAGUGGGACGCGAAGCCUAGAUCCGAGUCAAGUGCCCGUCGGUGCGAAGGAAGAAGGUCCCGUUUCGGGUUAGUAAACGUUCGGUACGUUUUUAGGUAACCGGUAAACGUAAACGGUUACGUA
This 466-nucleotide ribosomal RNA is filed under the name uncultured soil bacterium. RNAcentral describes it as "bacterial SSU rRNA". It matches the Rfam family "Bacterial small subunit ribosomal RNA", at positions 26 to 503 of the family's 1533-position model. The record is from RNAcentral.